This 206-nucleotide ribosomal RNA is filed under the name uncultured bacterium. RNAcentral's name for it is "partial 16S ribosomal RNA". It matches the Rfam family "Bacterial small subunit ribosomal RNA", at positions 338 to 533 of the family's 1533-position model. The record is from RNAcentral.
CCUACGGGAGGCAGCAGUAGGGAAUCUUCCACAAUGGGCGAAAGCCUGAUGGAGCAACGCCGCGUGAGUGAAGAAGGAUUUCGGUUCGUAAAACUCUGUUGUAAGGGAAGAACAAGUACAGUAGUAACUGGCUGUACCUUGACGGUACCUUAUUAGAAAGCCACGGCUAACUACGUGCCAGCAGCCGCGGUAAUAAUCUCUAGAGG